CAUAUGAAAAUUGCCUAUUACAAUACAACCACAGAAGAAAUGACUGAGGCGAUUGUUUUUAAUAUUCAUUGUCUCUUUAAUUCCAGACUGCUAGUAGAAAUUCAUUUGAAAAUUUAACAAAGCCUGACAUCAGCAAAGUGGAGCUUUUAAAAGACGUCCAAAGCAAAAAAGAUCUUAUCAUUCGGUUGGUAACUCAUGAUAUUAAUCAAGAAGUUUCAGAAGAGAGCUUAACUUCUGAUGAAGAUGAAGUUGUUUUACACGAGGUUGUAAAAGAAUUUCCAGAAGCCCCACUUGAAGAUCAAGUAAAAGAAGAGGCUCUCCCCAAGUCACUGAUGAGCAAGAGCAAUCUGAAAAAAAUUUUGUCACUGGGAAAAUGUUGUCACCCCAAAUCCAGUGUAACUGCAAUUACUGAAGCAUCACCAACACAACGCACAGAAUCUGAGCAGACACAAAUAAGAACUGUUUCUAAAGUUGAUGUAACUACCUCAGAAUUCUCAACUGACAGAAACUCUUCCUCUUGGGAGAAAAAGACACAACUGAGUUUUGUCACUCUCUACCAACGCAAAAGUUCCCUGGCCAGCCUAUAUACUUCAAAUGACAGCACUCCAGGUAAAACAUAUGUAUCAUUUUAUAAUAAAGCUCCC
This 644-nucleotide long non-coding RNA is filed under the name Camelus dromedarius (Arabian camel). RNAcentral describes it as "lncRNA (ENSCDRG00005010350.1)". The record is from RNAcentral. Lineage: Eukaryota; Metazoa; Chordata; Mammalia; Artiodactyla; Camelidae.